This 800-nucleotide ribosomal RNA is filed under the name uncultured Alphaproteobacteria bacterium. Its description in RNAcentral is "bacterial SSU rRNA". It matches the Rfam family "Bacterial small subunit ribosomal RNA", at positions 90 to 928 of the family's 1533-position model. Lineage: Bacteria; Pseudomonadati; Pseudomonadota; Alphaproteobacteria. The record is from RNAcentral.
ACUGAGUGGCAAACGGGUGAGUAUAAUGUGGGAAUCUGCCUUUUGGUCUGGAAUAACACGGGGAAACUUGUGCUAAUACCGGAUAAGCCCUUACGGGGAAAGUUUUAAUGCCGAAAGAUGAGCCUGCACUUGAUUAGCUAGUUGGUAAGGUAAAAGCUUACCAAGGCGACGAUCAAUAGCUGUUCUUAGAGGAAGACCAGCCACAUUGGGACUGAGACACGGCCCAGACUCCUACGGGAGGCAGCAGUGGGGAAUCUUGCACAAUGGGGGAAACCCUGAUGCAGCGAUGCCGCGUGAGUGAAGAAGGCCCUUGGGUUGUAAAACUCUUUCGUCGGGGAAGAAAAUGACUGUACCCGAAUAAGAAGGUCCGGCUAACUUCGUGCCAGCAGCCGCGGUAAUACGAAGGGACCUAGCGUAGUUCGGAAUUACUGGGCUUAAAGAGCUCGUAGGUGGUUAAAAAAGUUGAUGGUGAAAUCCCAAGGCUCAACCUUGGAACUGCCAUCAAAACUUUUUAGCUAGAGUGUGAUAGAGGUAAGUGGAAUUUCUAGUGUAGAGGUGAAAUUCGUAGAUAUUAGAAAGAACACCAAAUGCGAAGGCAACUUACUGGGUCACUACUGACACUGAGGAGCGAAAGCAUGGGUAGCGAAGAGGAUUAGAUACCCUCGUAGUCCAUGCCGUAACGAUGUGUGCUAGACGUUGGAAAUAUAUUUUUCAGUGUCGCAGCGAAAGCAUUAAGCACACCGCCUGGGGAGUACGACCGCAAGGUUAAAACUCAAAUGAAUUGACGGGGACCCGCACAA